This 254-nucleotide ribosomal RNA is filed under the name uncultured bacterium. RNAcentral describes it as "partial 16S ribosomal RNA". It matches the Rfam family "Bacterial small subunit ribosomal RNA", at positions 524 to 776 of the family's 1533-position model. The record is from RNAcentral.
UACGAAGGGGGCUAGCGUUGUUCGGAUUUACUGGGCGUAAAGCGCACGUAGGCGGAUCGUUAAGUCGGGGGUGAAAUCCUGGAGCUCAACUCCAGAACUGCCUUCGAUACUGGCGAUCUUGAGUCCGGAAGAGGUGAGUGGAACUCCUAGUGUAGAGGUGGAAUUCGUAGAUAUUAGGAAGAACACCAGUGGCGAAGGCGGCUCACUGGUCCGGUACUGACGCUGAGGUGCGAAAGCGUGGGGGAGCAAACAGG